GCAAACUUUGCUUGACACAGAAGCAAGCAAACUUUGUUUGAGUUUUCACUUCAUCGCUGUGAAGGAUCGGAGAGACACAAAAGAUGAGAAGUCACAUGUUCCUGCUGUUAAUGGAAGUUACGUAUCCAACUUGAAAUCUUCCAGAAAAAUCACAUGAAAAUACAAAUGUUUUGAUAGAGUUACUCUAGCUAACAGAGACAACUAAGAUGGUGGUGGAAACUGAAGAGAACAUAUCAUUUGAUCACCUUCAACGACUCGUGCCAUUUGGAAGACAAUUCAGCGGUGACCGUGUUAGGGAUCACCCAAAAACUAAACAUCCUCGAGCGUCGUUCGUAGGUAAAAUUCUCUCACCUCGCAAGUUCUGAACCAAGGACAAAACUUAGUUAACCUCGCAACUUGUUAUGGAAAAUAUUCUAGCAAUAAAACUCUUACCCUCGCAUCCUCUUUGUUACUUUAGAUACUCGAAGUUAGCAACUUGUAGCUGAUGACUAAACUCCAGCCGAGCUAAC
This 509-nucleotide long non-coding RNA is filed under the name Setaria viridis. Its description in RNAcentral is "long non-coding RNA (SVIR_LNC009831)". Lineage: Eukaryota; Viridiplantae; Streptophyta; Magnoliopsida; Poales; Poaceae. The record is from RNAcentral.